This 495-nucleotide ribosomal RNA is filed under the name uncultured bacterium. Its description in RNAcentral is "partial 16S ribosomal RNA". It matches the Rfam family "Bacterial small subunit ribosomal RNA", at positions 29 to 506 of the family's 1533-position model. The record is from RNAcentral.
AUGAACGCUGGCGGCGUGCCUAAUACCUGCAAGUCGAGCGAACAGAUGAGGAGCUUGCUCCUCUGACGUUAGCGGCGGACGGGUGAGUAACACGUGGAUAACCUACCUAUAAGACUGGGAUAACUUCGGGAAACCGGAGCUAAUACCGGAUAAUAUAUUGAACCGCAUGGUUCAAUAGUGAAAGACGGUUUUGCUGUCACUUAUAGAUGGAUCCGCGCCGCAUUAGCUAGUUGGUAAGGUAACGGCUUACCAAGGCAACGAUGCGUAGCCGACCUGAGAGGGUGAUCGGCCACACUGGAACUGAGACACGGUCCAGACUCCUACGGGAGGCAGCAGUAGGGAAUCUUCCGCAAUGGGCGAAAGCCUGACGGAGCAACGCCGCGUGAGUGAUGAAGGUCUUCGGAUCGUAAAACUCUGUUAUUAGGGAAGAACAAUUGUGUAAGUAACUAUGCACGUCUUGACGGUACCUAAUCAGAAAGCCACGGCUAACUACGU